Molecule: ribosomal RNA, 739 nt
Filed under: uncultured bacterium
Lineage: Bacteria
Description: bacterial SSU rRNA
Rfam family: Bacterial small subunit ribosomal RNA
Source: RNAcentral
GCUUACCAUGCAGUCGAGCGGGGAGAUGUAGCUUGCUACAUUUCCUAGCGGCGGACGGGUGAGUAAUGCUUAGGAAUCUGCCUAUUAGUGGGGGACAACAUUCCGAAAGGAAUGCUAAUACCGCAUACGCCCUACGGGGGAAAGCAGGGGAUCUUCGGACCUUGCGCUAAUAGAUGAGCCUAAGUCAGAUUAGCUAGUUGGUGGGGUAAAGGCCUACCAAGGCGACGAUCUGUAGCGGGUCUGAGAGGAUGAUCCGCCACACUGGGACUGAGACACGGCCCAGACUCCUACGGGAGGCAGCAGUGGGGAAUAUUGGACAAUGGGCGAAAGCCUGAUCCAGCCAUGCCGCGUGUGUGAAGAAGGCCUUUUGGUUGUAAAGCACUUUAAGCGAGGAGGAGGCUACCGAGAUUAAUACCCUUGGAUAGUGGACGUUACUCGCAGAAUAAGCACCGGCUAACUCUGUGCCAGCAGCCGCGGUAAUACAGAGGGUGCGAGCGUUAAUCGGAUUUACUGGGCGUAAAGCGUGCGUAGGCGGCUUUUUAAGUCGGAUGUGAAAUCCCUGAGCUUAACUUAGGAAUUGCAUUCGAUACUGGGAAGCUAGAGUAUGGGAGAGGAUGGUAGAAUUCCAGGUGUAGCGGUGAAAUGCGUAGAGAUCUGGAGGAAUACCGAUGGCGAAGGCAGCCAUCUGGCCUAAUACUGACGCUGAGGUACGAAAGCAUGGGGAGCAAACAGGAUUAGA